CUCCGGGACUCGUUAUCGCAUAAUAAAUUUGUUCGCUUCUCGGUCACUCUGUGGGCGAUUUGGACCUCACAGCGUAAGGCAAUUCAUGAAGGCAUCUUUCAAACCCCUCAAGUGAUCAACUCUUUUGUCAACAUGUUCAUUGAUGAACUGAAGCUAGUAAACGAAGGCAGUACACGGCCGGGAGCACCGCGGGCUGCACCUGGUCGCCCCAAGGCUCCACCAACGGGCUAUGCUAAAAUCCAUGUUGACGCUGGUGUGAUGAAAGUCAGGGGAGGUUUGGCUGCGGCAGUCUGCUGAGACUGAGAAGGCCAUUACUUGGGUAGUUCUAUGUUGGUUAUUCGUGGAGUUGAUGAUCCCGCGACUCUGGAGGCCAUUGUGUGUCGUGAGGCCGCUCUGGCUGAAGAUUUAAAUUUUCAGCGUUUUAUCAUUGCUUCUGACUAGAACCAAGUAGUUCAUGAUAUUAUUAAUAGUAGUCAAGGUAGCUAUGGGGCUAUAGUUAGUGAGAUCAAUCUCAAAGCAACUCAACUUUGUGAAGUUAUUUUUGAAGGUUGUGCUGUCAACACUGAAGGACAUAAUUUAGCGAAGUUUUCUUUGUCUCUAGGUCUGGAGCGCCACGUCUGGUAUGGCCAACCCCAUGACAAACUGUAUCCCAACUGUCGUGCCUUUUGA
RNAcentral lists this ribosomal RNA (669 nucleotides) under Triticum aestivum (bread wheat). RNAcentral's name for it is "partial small subunit ribosomal RNA". The record is from RNAcentral. Lineage: Eukaryota; Viridiplantae; Streptophyta; Magnoliopsida; Poales; Poaceae.